RNAcentral lists this ribosomal RNA (301 nucleotides) under uncultured bacterium. Its description in RNAcentral is "partial 16S ribosomal RNA". It matches the Rfam family "Bacterial small subunit ribosomal RNA", at positions 509 to 807 of the family's 1533-position model. The record is from RNAcentral.
CAGUCGCCGCGGUAAUACAGAGGAUGCAAGCGUUAUCCGGAAUGAUUGGGUGUAAAGCGUCUGUAGGUGGCUUUUCAAGUCCGCCAUCAAAUCCCCGGGCUCAACCCUGGACAGGCAGUGGAAACUACCAAGCUGGAGUACGGUAGGGGCAGAGGGAAUUUCCGGUGGAGAGGUGAAAUGCGUUGAGAUUGGAAAGAACACCAACGGUGAAAGCGCUCUGCUGGGCCGACACUGACACUGAGAGACGAAAUCUAGGGGAGCAAAUGGGAUUAGAUACCCCUGUAGUCCCUGUCUCUUAUAC